CAACAAAUGCAUCGGUUUGAACUCUAUACACUGAAAACUAAAUUUUUCCAAUUCUUUGGGCAGGAAUUUGUCUAACAACAGGUUCAAUGGUUCCAUACCCACAUCUCUAAAGAAUAAAAGUAUUGAACUAGUUACAACAAAUAACUGCCUAUUGGGAAUGAAGUGUCAACCUCUAAGUGAUACUCCAAGUAAGGUUCUUCCAUCACCACCACCACCAGGACUUCAGUUUGUUUCAGGCGAUGAAGCUUUGGGAAGUGG
This 258-nucleotide small RNA is filed under the name Vigna angularis var. angularis. RNAcentral describes it as "Non-protein coding transcript". The record is from RNAcentral. Lineage: Eukaryota; Viridiplantae; Streptophyta; Magnoliopsida; Fabales; Fabaceae.